Molecule: long non-coding RNA, 504 nt
Organism: Mesocricetus auratus (golden hamster)
Lineage: Eukaryota; Metazoa; Chordata; Mammalia; Rodentia; Cricetidae
Exons: 5
Source: RefSeq, a predicted model, not a curated record
UGAGCCGGCAAUGCCCAUGGCCACACCGAUGUCAGCUUUCUUCAGGGCUGGGGAGUCAUUCACACCAUCCCCGGUCACAGCCACAAUGGCACCCUAAGGGCAGCAGGCCAGAGGGCGUACCCGGAUGCCUGCGGUGCGGCAUUUGAGCACAGCAUCAGGGACGGUGGCCCGGGGAGGGUCAAUCAUGGAUACGAGUCCCGCGAAGCAGAGGCCACUACUCGGGAAGUUCAUGGCCUCCACGUCGAAGGUAUAGCCAGUUUCCCACUGAAAUCCUUGCAGUCCGAGAUCUGGUCCAGACUGCGCCUCUCGUGAGUUGCCUGGUCAUUCCUCCAUCACCCCGGUCUCUACAUCCCAACAGCCUGCUUCGCACCCCACCCACCCUGACAGUCUACUCCUCCGGAGGGAGCUGAUACAGAUUGCUAGUGGAGGCAGGAGGAUCCGAAGUUCAAGGCUAAACUGAGCUACUUUGUAGCUCCAACUCAAAAGUAAAAUUGAGUUACGUCU